UGACAGUAAGAACAACAUUGGAGAAGCUCUGGUCUAGAGAACAUCCCACUUCACAGACGUGGAAAGUGAGGCCCAGGAAGGGUGAGGAAUGUGACCUACCUAUCUUCCUUAGAGGCUCAUCUUCUAUGUGAUUUUCCUCCUCCUUCAUCAACAGGUGGAGUCUAACUCUCCCCUCUUUGAAUUUGGAAGCCCACAUGCACUUGAGGUCCUGAGCUGCCCUGUUAGAAGCCCGAGUUCCUGGAGCCGAGCCACAUGGAAAGUUUGGUAUAGGUGCUCUGGUGUUCAGGUCCUCCUAACGACACCAUCUUGGAAAAAGUCGAGUAUAAAAAUGAACGAUCAGAAUGAGAUCUUGCCAUUUGCAACGACGUGGAUGGAACUGGAGGGUGUUAUGCUGAGUGGAAAUAAGUCAAUCAGAGAAAGACAUGUAUCCUA
Long non-coding RNA from Zalophus californianus (California sea lion), 432 nucleotides. RefSeq lists it as uncharacterized. The transcript is spliced from 4 exons. Lineage: Eukaryota; Metazoa; Chordata; Mammalia; Carnivora; Otariidae. The record is from RefSeq and is a predicted model, not a curated record.